AGUGAACGCUGGCGGUAGGCCUAACACAUGCAAGUCGAACGGCAGCACAGUAAGAGCUUGCUCUUACGGGUGGCGAGUGGCGGACGGGUGAGGAAUACAUCGGAAUCUACUUUUUCGGGGGGGAUAACGUAGGGAAACUGACGCUAAUACAGCAUACGACCUACGGGUGAAAGCAGGGGAUCUUCGCACCUUGCGCGACUGAAUGAGCUGAUGUCGGAUUAGCUAGUUGGCGGGGUAAAGGCCCACCAAGGCGAAGCACCGUAGCUGGUCCGAGAGGAUGAACAGCCCACAUUGAAAUGGGGCACGGGUCCGGCCUCCAAGGGGGGCAGGAGUUGGGAAUAUUUGAGAAAGGGGCGAAGCCUGAUCCAGGCAUACCGGGUGGGGGAAGAAGGCCUUCGGGUUCUAAAGCCUUUUUUUUGAGAAAGAAAAGCAGCAGUUUAAUACUACGCUGGUCUGACGGUACCCAAAGAAUAAGCACCGGCUAACUUCGUG
RNAcentral lists this ribosomal RNA (492 nucleotides) under uncultured bacterium. RNAcentral describes it as "partial 16S ribosomal RNA". It matches the Rfam family "Bacterial small subunit ribosomal RNA", at positions 29 to 507 of the family's 1533-position model. The record is from RNAcentral.